This 553-nucleotide ribosomal RNA is filed under the name uncultured bacterium. RNAcentral describes it as "partial 16S ribosomal RNA". It matches the Rfam family "Bacterial small subunit ribosomal RNA", at positions 357 to 900 of the family's 1533-position model. The record is from RNAcentral.
GGGAAUCUUCCACAAUGGACGAAAGUCUGAUGGAGCAACGCCGCGUGAGUGAUGAAGGGUUUCGGCUCGUAAAACUCUGUUGUUGGAGAAGAACAGGUGAUAGAGUAACUGUUAUCAUCUUGACGGUAUCCAACCAGAAAGCCACGGCUAACUACGUGCCAGCAGCCGCGGUAAUACGUAGGUGGCAAGCGUUGUCCGGAUUUAUUGGGCGUAAAGCGAGCGCAGGCGGUUUUUUAGGUCUGAUGUGAAAGCCUUCGGCUUAACCGGAGAAGGGCAUCGGAAACCGGGAGACUUGAGUGCAGAAGAGGACAGUGGAACUCCAUGUGUAGCGGUGAAAUGCGUAGAUAUAUGGAAGAACACCAGUGGCGAAGGCGGCUGUCUGGUCUGUAACUGACGCUGAGGCUCGAAAGCAUGGGUAGCGAACAGGAUUAGAUACCCUGGUAGUCCAUGCCGUAAACGAUGAGUGCUAAGUGUUGGAGGGUUUCCGCCCUUCAGUGCUGCAGCUAACGCAUUAAGCACUCCGCCUGGGGGAGUACGACCGCAAGGUUGAAAC